GACGAACGCUGGCGGCGUGCUUAACACAUGCAAGUCGAGCGGUAAGGCCCUUUCGGGGGUACGACGAGCGGCGAACGGGUGAGUAACACGUGGGUGACCUGCCCUCAGCUCUGGGAUAAGCCUGGGAAACCGGGUCUAAUACUGGAUAUGACUCCAUGACGCAUGUUGUGGGGUGGAAAGCCUUGUGCGGCUGAGGAUGGGCCCGCGGCCUAUCAGCUUGUUGGUGGGGUGANGGCCUACCAAGGCGACGACGGGUAGCCGGCCUGAGAGGGCGACCGGCCACACUGGGACUGAGACACGGCCCAGACUCCUACGGGAGGCAGCAGUGGGAAUCUUGCGCAAUGGGCGAAAGCCUGACGCAGCGACGCCGCGUGA
Molecule: ribosomal RNA, 375 nt
Filed under: uncultured bacterium
Lineage: Bacteria
Description: bacterial SSU rRNA
Rfam family: Bacterial small subunit ribosomal RNA
Source: RNAcentral